CACGUAGGGCGCGAGCGUUGUCCGGAAUUAUUGGGCGUAAAGAGCUCGUAGGCGGCCUGUUGCGUCCGCUGUGAAAGCCCGGGGCUUAACCCCGGGUCUGCAGUGGAUACGGGCAGGCUAGAGGUAGGUAGGGGAGAAUGGAAUUCCCGGUGUAGCGGUGAAAUGCGCAGAUAUCGGGAGGAACACCAAUGGCGAAGGCAGCUCGCUGGGACGUGACUGACGC
This 223-nucleotide ribosomal RNA is filed under the name uncultured prokaryote. Its description in RNAcentral is "partial 16S ribosomal RNA". It matches the Rfam family "Bacterial small subunit ribosomal RNA", at positions 524 to 746 of the family's 1533-position model. The record is from RNAcentral.